AAUUUUGGACAAUGGGGGAAACCCUGAUCCAGCCAUCCCGCGUGUAUGAUGAAGGCCUNCGGGUUNUNAAGUACUUUUGGCAGAGNAGAAAAGGCAUCCCAUAAUACGGGAUGCUGCUGACGGUAUCUGUAGAAUAAGCACCGGCCAACUACGUGCCAGCAGCCGCGGUAAGACGUAGGGUGCAAGCGUUAAUCGGAAUUACUGGGCGUAAAGCGUGCGGAGGCGGUUCGGAAAGAAGGAUGUGAAAUCCCAGGGCUCAACCUUGGAACUGCAUUCUUAACUACCGAACUAGAGUAUGUCAGAGGGGGGUAGAAUUCCACGUGUAGCAGUGAAAUGCGUAGAUAUGCGGAGGAAUACCGAUGGCGAAGGCAGCCCCCUGGGAUAAUACUGACGCUCAUGCACGAAAGCGUGGGUAGCAAACAGG
This 424-nucleotide ribosomal RNA is filed under the name uncultured bacterium. RNAcentral describes it as "partial 16S ribosomal RNA". It matches the Rfam family "Bacterial small subunit ribosomal RNA", at positions 360 to 776 of the family's 1533-position model. The record is from RNAcentral.